AUUGAACGCUGGCGGCAUGCCUUACACAUGCAAGUCGAACGGUAACAGGUCUUCGGAUGCUGACGAGUGGCGAACGGGUGAGUAAUACAUCGGAACGUGCCCGAUCGUGGGGGAUAACGAAGCGAAAGCUUUGCUAAUACCGCAUACGAUCUACGGAUGAAAGCAGGGGACCGCAAGGCCUUGCGCGAACGGAGCGGCCGAUGGCAGAUUAGGUAGUUGGUGGGAUAAAAGCUUACCAAGCCGACGAUCUGUAGCUGGUCUGAGAGGACGACCAGCCACACUGGGACUGAGACACGGCCCAGACUCCUACGGGAGGCAGCAGUGGGGAAUUUUGGACAAUGGGCGAAAGCCUGAUCCAGUCAUGCCGCGUGCAGGAUGAAGGCCUUCGGGUUGUAAACUGCUUUCGUACGGAACGAAAAGACUCUGGUUAAUACCUGGGGUCCAUGACGGUACCGUAAGAAUAAGCACCGGCUAACUACGUG
This 482-nucleotide ribosomal RNA is filed under the name uncultured bacterium. RNAcentral describes it as "partial 16S ribosomal RNA". It matches the Rfam family "Bacterial small subunit ribosomal RNA", at positions 30 to 507 of the family's 1533-position model. The record is from RNAcentral.